RNAcentral lists this ribosomal RNA (253 nucleotides) under uncultured bacterium. Its description in RNAcentral is "partial 16S ribosomal RNA". It matches the Rfam family "Bacterial small subunit ribosomal RNA", at positions 524 to 776 of the family's 1533-position model. The record is from RNAcentral.
UACGGGGGGAGCAAGCGUUGUCCGGAUUUACUGGGCGUAAAGAGCGCGCAGGCGGCUGGUCAAGUCCGAUGUGAAAGCUCCCGGCUUAACUGGGAAAUUGCAUCGGAAACUGAUCGGCUGGAAGGUGGGAGAGGGUAGCGGAAUUCCCGGUGUAGUGGUGAAAUGCGUAGAUGUCGGAAGGAACACCAGUGGCGAAAGCGGCUUCCUGGUCCAGCACCGACGUUCAGGCACGAAAGCGUGGGGAGCAAACAGG